This 546-nucleotide ribosomal RNA is filed under the name uncultured bacterium. RNAcentral's name for it is "bacterial SSU rRNA". It matches the Rfam family "Bacterial small subunit ribosomal RNA", at positions 355 to 896 of the family's 1533-position model. The record is from RNAcentral.
UAGGGAAUUUUUCACAAUGAGCGAAAGCUUGAUGGAGCAAUGCCGCGUGAACGAUGAAGGUCUUUAAGAUUGUAAAGUUCUUUUAUUUGGGAAGAAUGACUUUAGCAGGUAAUGGCUAGAGUUUGACUGUACCAUUUUGAAUAAGUGACGACUAACUAUGUGCCAGCAGUCGCGGUAAUACAUAGGUCGCAAGCGUUAUCCGGAUUUAUUGGGCGUAAAGCAAGCGCAGGCGGAUUGAAAAGUCUGGUGUUAAAGGCACCUGCUUAACAGUUGUAUGCAUUGGAAACUAUUAAUCUAGAGUGUGGUAGGGAGUUUUGGAAUUUCAUGUGGAGCGGUGAAAUGCGUAGAUAUAUGAAGGAACACCAGUGGCGAAGGCGAAAACUUAGGCCAUUACUGACGCUUAGGCUUGAAAGUGUGGGGAGCAAAUAGGAUUAGAUACCCUAGUAGUCCACACCGUAACGAUAGAUACUAGCUGUCGGGGCGAUCCCCUCGGUAGUGAAGUUAACACAUUAAGUAUCUCGCCUGGGUAGUACAUUCGCAAGAAUG